Sinocyclocheilus grahami is the source of this 237-nucleotide long non-coding RNA. RefSeq lists it as uncharacterized. The transcript has 3 exons. The record is from RefSeq and is a predicted model, not a curated record. NCBI's taxonomy places the organism in Eukaryota, Metazoa, Chordata, Actinopteri, Cypriniformes, Cyprinidae.
CAGACCCUUCUAAAUGACUUGGACAAGAGUACGGGCCGCUACAGAGAUGAGGUGAACCUCAAGACAGCAAUCAUGUCCUUCAUCAACGCGGUUCUCAGUCAAGGAGCAGGGGAGACCAGUUUGGAGUUCAGAAUUCAUUUGCGGUAUGAAUUUCUAAUGCUGGGCAUCCAACCAGUGAUCGAUAAAUUACGGUCCCAUGAAAACUCCACGUUAGAUCGGCAUUUGGACUUCUUUGAG